RNAcentral lists this ribosomal RNA (464 nucleotides) under Vreelandella stevensii. RNAcentral describes it as "partial 16S ribosomal RNA". It matches the Rfam family "Bacterial small subunit ribosomal RNA", at positions 338 to 794 of the family's 1533-position model. The record is from RNAcentral. Lineage: Bacteria; Pseudomonadati; Pseudomonadota; Gammaproteobacteria; Oceanospirillales; Halomonadaceae.
CCUACGGGAGGCUGCAGUGGGGAAUAUUGGACAAUGGGCGAAAGCCUGAUCCAGCCAUGCCGCGUGUGUGAAGAAGGCCUUCGGGUUGUAAAGCACUUUCAGUGGGGAAGAAAGCCUUGGGGCUAAUACCCUCGAGGAAGGACAUCACCCACAGAAGAAGCACCGGCUAACUCCGUGCCAGCAGCCGCGGUAAUACGGAGGGUGCGAGCGUUAAUCGGAAUUACUGGGCGUAAAGCGCGCGUAGGCGGUCUGAUAAGCCGGUUGUGAAAGCCCCGGGCUCAACCUGGGAACGGCAUCCGGAACUGUCAGGCUAGAGUGCAGGAGAGGAAGGUAGAAUUCCCGGUGUAGCGGUGAAAUGCGUAGAGAUCGGGAGGAAUACCACUGGCGAAGGCGGCCUUCUGGACUGACACUGACGCUGAGGUGCGAAAGCGUGGGUAGCAAACAGGAUUAGAUACCCGGGUAGU